RNAcentral lists this ribosomal RNA (309 nucleotides) under uncultured bacterium. Its description in RNAcentral is "partial 16S ribosomal RNA". It matches the Rfam family "Bacterial small subunit ribosomal RNA", at positions 504 to 807 of the family's 1533-position model. The record is from RNAcentral.
AGAGACAGCAGUAGCCGCGGUAAUACAGAGGGUGCAAGCGUUAAUCGGAAUUACUGGGCGUAAAGCGCGCGUAGGUGGUUUGUUAAGUUGGAUGUGAAAGCCCCGGGCUCAACCUGGGAACUGCAUCCAAAACUGGCAAGCUAGAGUACGGUAGAGGGUGGUGGAAUUUCCUGUGUAGCGGUGAAAUGCGUAGAUAUAGGAAGGAACACCAGUGGCGAAGGCGACCACCUGGACUGAUACUGACACUGAGGUGCGAAAGCGUGGGGAGCAAACAGGAUUAGAGACCCCUGUAGUCCCUGUCUCUUAUAC